CUUUUUUACAGUAGAAAUAUUUAAAUGGAACAACAAAAGCAAGAGCUAUGUAACAGAUGCACAUGUAUUGAAAUAUUUAUUUAUUUAUUGGAGAAUAUAAAUAGUUAAAGUGAGUCAGAGUUAUAUACAUGAAUAUAGUACCACUGGAUUGAGAUAGGCUCUUUUAUCCAGGGGUUAGUGUGACAUUGAAAUGAUAUACAGAUAAUCAAAGGAUGACAUUGAGAAACUAAAGGUAUUUAUUAAAUAUAUCAGCAAGCUUAGAACUAGUGAUGUCAUUUUUAGUUUAUCUAAAACAUAAAACAUAUUAUGUUUGAGCUAUUCAGUCCAGUAAAAUGCGUGGGCAAAUCAGACGUGCUCUGUCCAUAUUUUUAAAACAUGACUGUACCAUAUCAAAAAAGAUACCUCAGAACGAAGACUUGUUAAUCUGGAACAAAAAAGCAAUUUUUUAAAGAGAUUUUUUUGUGUAUAAACAGCUAUAUUUUGUUUUUAUAUAUUUUGAUUAAUAAAACUUUAUUCAUCACUGUGAUUUUCUGAAAAGGCAUAGACAUUAACUUUUUUUUUUUUUAAUGAUCACUGCUAUGAUUAAAUAGAGUCAAUGUCCAUGGUUUUUACUCAUAUUUGCAAGUAUUUCACUAUUGCUUAUUCUUUGACUUUGAUGAAAUGAAGGCUUUGAAGGAUUUUUCCUUACUAAACUUGAGACAAUUUGUUUUAUUGAGCUAGGUAAACAUAUGAGACAGAUUCCUUUGUAUGCAUUGUCUUGCCUUUCAAACAUCAUUUUUUUUUAAGUUGAAUGAAGUUUUAAAAAUCCUUGUGUAUUAAAAAAUAAGUUAGAUAAAAAAAAUCAUUUUUAAGUAGUUACUUUUGUGUGUGCUUGAAUAAAAAUGCUCACAUUCAUGAUUCAUAGGUUCAUGGAUCACACACUUCCCUUUUUGUUAGUUUAACAGAAUGAAAAACAAUGAGGGUCUAUGUCAGCAUACAAUUCUAGACCUUUAAUCCACAGGAUAGCUUUUGCAUUUAGCAUCAAUAGAGUUCUAUGUCAUGUAUUGUGCUCUAUCAGAUAGACUGACUUUCUAACUUUGCAUUAGCUGGGUUCUUUGUAUUGCUCUUUUAGUGUUAACUAGGUUUUAUUGAAUAAUACAACCUUCUUCUUUUAACAUUAGCAUGGUUUGUUACUAAGGAACGUAUUACUGAUUUUGCACUAGACGGACUACGUAAUACUAAUUUAGCAUUAGCCAGGCCCUAUAACAUAGAAUGCCCAACUCAUUUUACAUUAGCUAUACUCUAUAGAAUGGAUUCUUCUAGUCCUUUAGUUUUAGCCAGGUUGUAUAAAAUGGAAGAACGGAAUGUCAUAAUCAUUUAGCAUUAGUUGAAUGCUAUGAAAUAGAAUUCCUAUUCAUUUGGCAAUUAUCCAGAUACUCUAGAAUGGAAUGUCAUCCUCAUUUCACUUUAGCAGUACUCUACAGAGCUACAGAUGGUAAAUAAGUGUGACAUUCCAUGUGGGCAUAAGAUCUUUAAGGCUUGUACAAUUGCCAUUAGUUCUUAAACUUAUGACACCAUUUUUCUAAAUAUUUUCUCCAUUUAUUUAAGGGGUUGUGAUGGUUGAUAUAUAUUUUUGUCUGGUAUCCCCAGCUGCAGCUGAGCCAAAACCUGGUCAAGGUUCUAUAAUUUCUGUCAGUAGAGUGUCCUCACAUAAGUUCUACUAUGUUCCGAUCAGCAGGGAAAGAUUAUGAUCUCACGGGGCAGUAGGUAGGCAAAUAAAUAGUUCUAGUGCCCUUGAUGAACCCCUGCUCAGACUUUCCCUGAAGACAGGCAAUUGCAAAUGCAGUUUAAAUUAUUCAUGUUAUUAAAGUUCUAAAAGUAUAGAAUAAUUGUCACAAUGGGUUUUCUAGAUUCCUAUGACUCUUUCACUUCUGGGGGGCUGAGCAAUGCAGCCUCGGAUGUGACAAUUUGAGUGUUGUUAAACAGGUUCUUGAUCCCCACAGCGAUAUAUUGAAUUUAUUAAACUGAGACAAUAGUCAGUCAACCAAGCAGAGAGCUGGAAUGUAAUUGUAUUUUUAAAAUACUCCUGGUAUUGUUUAUGUACUGAAAUUAUAGCCAUAUUACACAGAGGGUGAUUACAUCCUAUUUGAGAAAUGUGAGCAAAACCUACAUGCAUCGAUCUAAAGAAACAAAUUCAAUAAAAAUCUGUUUUCUAGCGAUCCGUGUCUGCAAUAUAUCACAGUGUUUAACAUUAGCAUUCCGUGGAGUCUUUGGUUAGUAGACACAGGGAAAGUAUAAGUAUCUCUGCUGUACACAGGCGAUAUCUGUCGGUUUCUAAAGAAUAUACUCAAUGGGGAAUUAAGCAAUGUGUGUAUAUUAGAUCUACGGUGCCUCAAAGACGGCAGACUCUCCAAAGAAAAUAUUCUCAGCUCCAGCUCAUCUUGUGAGAACAUACAAACAGCUUAAACACACAAGGAAACUAGUUUUGUUCAACCCUGAAAGUCGCAGGAAGAGCAAUGGUUUCGAUUUAACCCUUUGAGUGCCUCUGUCAUCUUCCUUCUAUUUUCUAGUUGUUAAAUCUCAACCUUGAACAAAAUUUGUCCUUGACAGCCAACAGACGAAAAUAGUAGAUUGAUUUAACCCUUUUGAUGGAUGUGUCUGCUCAUUUAGUACAAACAUUCAACUGCAACCUCAACCAACUCAAUACAAUAUCUUACUAACCUCAAGAAGCCACAUGAAGUAGAUCCCUAUAUGUUAUAAGCUUGCACCAACACAGAGCAGAUAGUCUUAUUAACCAAAGAAAGAGAUUAAUUUAACCCUUUCCAUGUUCCUCUUGACAUCAUGAACCAACACAAAGAAAUAUCUCAGUAACUGUAGAGUGCAUUAAACCAUUUUAACUAUUACAAUUCAAAGGCAGAGUAGGAGAAUCAGUUAAUCUUUCACAUAACAUUGUCUGUUUUAGUUAUAACUUAUCCAAGCAGAGCCAAAACCAGCCAGUAGCAAUGUGAAAUUAUAUUUUAACCACUGACAUCAAGAGGAAAAUAUUUAGAUUGGUUUAAUAAUUUAAUGUUCGUGCCUGUGAUUCUAAAUUAUAAUACUAUGAUGUAGUAAUAUGCAUGUAACGGUUUAUAUUUCAACUGUUUACUUCCACACAUGAGUUAAACCAUCACAGUGUGGUUUAUUUACUAAGCAGUGAGUUUUGGUGAAGUGAAAACAAAAAUGUAACAUAAAGGCCAAAAAGACAAUAUGGAAAAUUUCCAGCUCAGCUUUUUAUGCGCUAAUUUUUGCAAUUUGUUUAUCUAAUUAACCAAUUCAUAGCUCAGCAAAUAAUCUUCACAUUCACGGUCAGUGCCAUUUUGCUGAGAAUAUCUCUGUGCUCCAACAGGGUAUAAUUCGAACAUAAGUCAACCUCUUUUUAACUGUCCAAUGUAUUGUCUUAACAUUUUGGUAAAGGCAUCUCCCCCAACAUUGAUAUAUAUGUAAUAAGGAUAGGGAUGGCCUCUAGGGGGCAUCACCAGCAAUGCAAGUUACGAGGGGCCGGAGUAUGAGAUCCCUGACUUAAACUGACACUGUUUAAUCUUAUUAAUAGCUGAACACCAGAGGAAUAUAUAGAGCAAAAUAUCAAUUCAUCUCCUUGGGUAUCAGAGCAUCUUUGAGUAUCAGUGACAAAAGAUUUAAACCCAUUUACUCCAUCAUGGAUGUAGAUUUUAUUUGGCUUGAAUAAACCUAAACAAAAGACUGAACAUUUUAUUACGCGCACUGUAAUAUUUGUAAGGUGACUGUAUAAUACUGUCCAGUGAAAAAUACAUACUCAGUUGUUUUUUGGUUUUUUUUAUCAAAGGUUUGUUUCUAAAUAUUAAUUACAUUUUAACAUAAACAUAACUAAAUAUAUGAAGAAAACAUUCAAACCAAUAAUAAUCAAAUAAUAAUAUGCAAUAUGUCAUUACUACACAGUAACAAAAACACACAACUAAAAACAUUGGGAAAUAUGAUAAAGAAUUGUUUAGAAAAAAGUGUAACAAAAUGGUGUCUUUUAGCAACAGUUAAAUAUUUAUCAAAUAUGGUGGGUGAAUACGCUAGUGACACCACUGGGAUCAAUAAAUACGGAUCCUUAAAGAGAGUGACAAUACAGUAUUAAUAUUACACUAGGAUAGGACAAAAUCUAAAACUCCGAAUACCAUUUUUACCUCUCUUUAACCCAUAUUUAUAUAAAGUUCAUAAAUGUGCGUACUAAAUGUUACAUAUAACAUGGGGACAUGAGGCUGGGCUACAAAUUCCUUUAGGGAGAUAAUUGUUUUGAUCAGUCCUACACAAGACAUGCCCCCAUAAUGUAAAAGUGUAAGUCACCAUUUUUUAUAAGUUAUUAUAUUAAUAAAACGUAUCAGUGAUGUACAGACAAUCAGAACUCAAGCUAGUACACAUUUGUAAUCUUAUAUUUUGGUUACCAAAUGUGAUUUUAUUCCAGAUAAGACUCACUCUAUCAACGUUAGUCACUCAGUAUCUCCAUCAAUUAAUCAUUUGUUUGUAUUACGUAACUUGAGAAAGCAACAUGUUAAAAAUCAUGUGCCUAUUAAUGGAUGGCAUUAUCAAUAGCAUCAUCAAAAUAAAAAUCAGAGCAACGAUGUAGGAAUUUGAGCUUAUAUCGAAUAAUGCGACAGAGACUAAUUUAUUUAUGACCUAUAUUGAGAAUAAUUGCUAAUUAUUCUAAAAAUAGAAUAGUCUCCUUCUCCUAAUAGUUUCCUCCCUGCCAAUAAAAUCAGCAUUUAAUAAUGAGAAAUUUAUAUUUUCUAGUGUCUCUCUAUAAUAUCAUCAAGAAAAUAGAAAAAACUAUCUGCAAUAUAAUAUGACAAUUCAUAAAAUAUAGCAAUGAUUUUUAUAUGCAUAAUAUUGUCUUAGUCCUAAUAUAACAGAGACCCUAGAUAAAUUAAUCCAACCCUCUCGCCCCUUAAUAUCUAUCUCACCCACACAUACUGAAUAAUUAAUACAUAAACUCAGUCUUACAUUUAACUGUUGGGUCAUUUUCAAGAAAUAUCUUUAAUCGUAUGUAUCUUAGUUUUACUCAAAACGGAAAAAAAAUACAUUCUCCAAAGUACACUAUAGAUUGGUAAUAUAUAGAAUAUUUCCAAAAUUUUAUGUCAGUAUAAGUAAAUAUAUACUGAACGUUAUAUGUUGGUAUCCCAUACAAUAAACACAUUUAUAUAUUUCUCCACCUGAGUAAUUUUUUACUAUGUUACAUUAACAUCAUUUAGACUAAUUCUCAUGUCUGCUUAAAAAAUAUGGCAACUCAAUUCUUAAAGUGAAGUUAAGACUUCAUAUUAAGUUAGAUUUAUGUAACAGAGCAUUAGAUACAUUCAAAUGUAUGUGUAAGAGUUAUGGAACAUGCCUAUUUUCUACUUAUUUUCUACUUAAGUCCUUCACGUAUGUGCAUUUUCUGGUCUCCGAUCAGACCAGGAAUUAUACCUAUGUCCUGAUUGGCUUAGAAAACCAAACCAAUCAAUUUAGUGCUUUGCUUUCAUAUGGGUCAAAUUAAUUAUUGUGAUCUUCUCUUUGCUGAUUUUAUUACCUGCUUUCUCUUAGAAAAAGAGCUUGUUGUAUCAGUAAAAUGCAUAGACAAAUUACUUUUGCAUAAUGAACUUGUCUCAUUGCAUCAUUGUGUGUUAAACCAAUAUACUUUUAAAACAUAAUGAAUCUCUCGGCAGCACAAAAUAAAUACACUUUCAAUUUAAACGUACAGUAUGGAAAAAUAGUUGGCGAUUGUGUUAAAAAUAACAUAGCUCGAAAGAGUUAGAUACCUUUAAAACUAUAUCUCAACUUCCAUUACUUGAUACUUGUACUUAAAACAUGAAAUAUCCCAUCAUGCACCGGUCAUUCGCUUUCUUGGUUGGUUGGAUGACAUCCUUUUUACUUUUUUUUUAAGAACUAUGCACUGACUCACUUGUUUGUUCACGUUUAGUUUGGGUUUGGGAAUGGAAGAGUAUUGAGGGAUACUAAUUAAGGGCACUAAGCAUAGUGAUUGAGGCAGAUUGAGGCUAAUAGGAGUGUAUGAUAGUUCUAAUACACAGUGAACCUAGAUUAUAGGUGACUAGAUUUUAGUGUAUUCCGAGUGCUUAUAGGCAUAUUAUUACUACAAGCUAUCUUAAAUCUAGCCUCCUCUCCGCUAUGCUAUCCUUUGUUCAUCCUUCUACUUUAUAGGAACUUAGAAGUGAUAAGAAUUGGACUGAUUAGCAUACUCUGGGUACAUACAUUCUUAUAUGUAGAAUGAACCUCUAAUUGAAUACUUUUACAAGUUUUGAGCCAUUGUGGUUAUUACUUUUGUUAGUAUUUUUUUUUCAAAUCAUUUACUCUUAGCUUCCUAUCAUCUAAUUACUACACUCUUUUAUGUAUGCACUUCUAAGUCAAAUUGAUAGUUUAGGGGAUAUUCCUUUUUUCUCUGUCCAUGAGUGUUGAUACCAUUUAAAGCACACCCAAUUAAUAUAGUUAAACCUAUUCUCUUUUUUGCAUCAAAUUUCUAAUUGAUAGGUGUCUAUUUUGUUUUUUGGUUACAAUCAUGGACAGGGAGGAUGAUACAUUUUUGAUCUAAACAUUAUUCCUCAAUUUAAUUAGCAGUUAGUGAAUGUGUAACCUUAUGGGGGUUCUCUUAGGCAAUGCACAAUAAAGCCUGGACGGGUCUCUCAUUAAUGGUUACUUUAUACUGCUAAUCUUUAACUGUCUUUCCCUACUGGACUUUAUAUAUAAGUUCCAUCCAAGUAGUUCACUUUCUAAAUACCAGGACUUGAGAUCCUCGCUCUGUAUGGAUCUCAGGUGAUACUUUGUUCAUAUAUUAUUAUUAGGGUAAAAGCCCAGGGCAGAACUGGUACUAUACACACUGACCAGCUCUCAUUUGCGUUAUUUGCAUCAUUGAGGGGUUAUUUUAUAAUCAUUAUAAUCAAGUACAUUUUGUAAAUAAAACACACAGAUUGGUGAUUACUGUGUAUAGUGCGCUUACAAAUGUAAUUGAGUUAAAAAUAAGCAGCUACACACUCUAGUGGAUACUCUCUUAUCCCCACUAAUUAUAGUAAUGAACCAAAGUGAGCUUAGUACAAUCUGGAUAUAACGUCCAGACUCUACUAAUCAAAUGAGUGGAGCGCUAAAGGUAUAAACUUACCCUAAAAUAGGGUUAAAUCUCAGAUGUAUAUCAGUACAUAUAAAGGAAACAAAAAAUAAAACACAAUAUAGUGGAUAUCCAGAGCCAGGUUCUCAUUGGCUCAGGAAAAGGUGAGCACAACCAUAACCACUGUGUUUUUUAUUUUUGUUGAAACUUAAUACACUAGGAAGUCUUCCUUUCUCUCUCCUUUGAGGAAAUCCAUUCCAGGCAAAAGGGUGCAGUGUCUCCAUACGACACUACUGUGCAAGUGAUUUGAGCCUGUCCCUUUGAGGCUCUGAUCAAUGUGAGUUUGACUACUUGAAUUAUCACCAAAAUACAUUAUCAUCUGUGGAUUUACACAUUUUGUAAAUGUUUCCCCAACAUGUGGUCUGUGUAGCGGAAAUAUUUCUGCCAGGGUAAAUUAAAUAUCUCUGCCAGGGUAAAACAUUUGGGUAUUUUAUAGGAAAUACAUCUGUUUGGGAUGCUUGGCUGGAAACUCCACUUUCAAAUAAUGUGAUUACAUCACCAGACCCAUGUCUCACUCUGAAAAUAUCCAUUUAAAUCUAUUUCUCAACUCAAUGUUUUUUUAUUCAAUAUUCAGACAUUAUGUUUGCUAUUUCAUAAUUCCAUUUCUGAUUUACAGUAUUCACAUGCAUCAGAUGUUGAAAUACUUUGUCAUCUUUUGUUCUCUGAUUGACUGAUACCCAUUUCCAAUUUAGGCUAAGACCCGAUUAUUAAGAAUAACAAACACUUUGAGAUUUACCACAGGAGAAGGAUAGCCAGACACAAAGGGUUAACAACAAUAUCAAGUGCCAAUGAUCAUAGGGCUGGUAUUUAUAAGCACUGCUUCACAAUUAAGUACUUGAACGCUCCAGACUGGAGUUUACUAAUGUAUUUAUUAUGAAUGAAAUAGAUCAGGGCUCAUAAUUCUAUGCCCUGACUGAAUAGCCAGUCUUUAAAGUUACUCAAAAACAUUUUACUGAAGUACAUGUGAAAACCAUUUUAGAAUAUACUACUGUCAGACAGAAUGGCCUACUACUGGGCAGAAUGGGCUACUACUGAGUAGGGGAGAAUGGGCUGCUACUUAUACUGGCAAGAGCGAGGAGGCACUACGGGUAGUAGGGAGAGAGAAUAUUUGCUACAUGGGAAUCGAGAGUUGACACUGUGAAUUGUCUACAACUGGCAAUGAGAAUCGGGAGUUGGCACAUUGAUUUGGCCACAACUGGCAAAUGGGGAGAGUGUAAACAUGGAAUUUGUGGGCUUGUGUCAUGUGAAAUAAAAUGUGGGUGCAAUUACACCCCCUUCAUUCAAUCACAUGCACAGCACGCCACAUUAGCAUUCUCACAUACUUUGCAAAACUACACUCUUACAUCCAUACACUCUGACACACCAUGGACACUCCUCAAGUAGGAAACAUUACUAAAAUGCUGUGUGCCCACUUGAGGCAUUGACUGAGUUUUAGUCUUGGUUGGCAAUGUAAGCAUUGAAAUAUUGUGCCCUGGUGUAUGGUGGCUUUCUACCUUAUUUAUACCAGUGUAUACAGUAUGAAUGUGCUACAUUGGGACAGUAUACAUGCAGCAUAUCUCUUUCAAGUUUGAUACAUUACACAAAAAAAGUAUGCAAACAUUUUAAAAUAAAAAUAAUUAAAAAUAAAACAAUGCCCAACAUUGAAGUAUCUGCAUUUGCUGCAAAUUUAUUUUUUUUGCAGCUUCUACAGUAAUUAAUCACCAAAUCUAGAAUUUGCUCAGUCAAACAUGAUGCUUUGUUAACUUGCUCUAGUACUGCUGAGCUUAUCCUGCAACCAGUGAUUUAUGGGUAGAAGAACGAUUUUUGGGAGUUAUAGUUCAACUGUCAGUUUUCUGCUGUAGAAAGGUAUGAACUUGCAGUAGAAGUAUAAGAACUGAAUUGCCCCUUUAAAUCAUUUGCAACAAGGGGUUAGGCAAUUUGUGUUAAAUUAUGUAGCAUGUCAUUGGUCAUUAACAAGUAGAGUGCUACUUUGUGACAUCUGUAGGGAACACCCAAUUCUAAAUCAGUGUAAAUAUUGAUAUAUUGAGAGCUCCUUUGGGAUCUCCUGUUCUAUAAACCUCUUUAGAUAAAUAGAACACACGUUGUUGCUUAGGCAGGGAUGAAAAUAACAAUCUCCCAGCAUUAUCCCUGGAGUAAACCAAAAAU
Molecule: non-coding RNA, 9274 nt
Organism: Pelobates cultripes (western spadefoot toad)
Lineage: Eukaryota; Metazoa; Chordata; Amphibia; Anura; Pelobatidae
Source: the annotation of a GenBank genome assembly